RNAcentral lists this long non-coding RNA (4242 nucleotides) under Canis lupus familiaris (dog). Its description in RNAcentral is "lncRNA (ENSCAFG00000051622.1)". Lineage: Eukaryota; Metazoa; Chordata; Mammalia; Carnivora; Canidae. The record is from RNAcentral.
UUGUUCAUCCUUUCAGAUAUGAAGUUGGUGGGUGAUUGAUGAAUAAAAAUCACCAACUGCCUGAAAUACAUGGGAGAUGGGGCGUCAUUCUUCGAAAAUUGAAGGGGAUUUAUUGAACUCUGUAUCUGAAACUACUGGUGUACUAUAUGAUGGCUAAUUGAACUGAAAUAAAAAUAAUAAUAAAGUGUACAACAUGAUGAUUUGGAAAAAAGAAAAGAAAAUUGAUGGGGAAUGACUGUAGUCAUACCAGCAGCCCCUUGAGAGGGAGCAGUAACUAUUCAGCUGCUACUGUCCUCACUAACUCGUCAUGCUUUUUUCCCAUUCUCCACAUGGAUUUCACACUAUGUGUCAAGCCUAAGUUUAGACACAGACUUGGAAUUACAGACCGUCAGAGCUGUUAGGAACCCUAGAUACUAUUUACCCAACUCAUCAUUUACAGGAAAAAAAUGGUGAGAAUUUGAGAAGUGAAGUGACUUAUUCUUGGUCAAGAGACCAAUACUUUUGUUCCCUUCUCUACUUCCCUCUCUUGUAAACCUCUCCAAAAGAGAGACCUUGUAUUAGGGUGUGACAUUAAUUGAAAAGUUGUUCAUAUGUUGAAGUCCUAAUCCCCAGUGCCUUAGGAUGUGACUACAUAUGGAGAGAGACUUUAAGAGGUAACUAAGGUUCAGUGAGGUUGUAAGGUUGGGGCCCUCAUCCAAUAUGAUUGGUGUGCUGAUCAGUAGAGCAAGAGACAUCAGGGAUGCAUGUCCACAGAGGAAAGACCAUGUGAGGACACAGCAAAAAAGAGCUGUCUGCAAGCCAAGGAGAAAGGUCUAAGCACAAACCAAACCAGCCAAAACCUUGAUCUUGGACUUCUAACCUCCAUAAGGGUGAGAAAAUAAAUUUCUAUUGUUAAAAUCACCUGUUAAAAUACCUCCUAAAUCUGUGGUAUUUUGUUAUGGCAUCGCAAGCAGACUAAUACAGAGAGUUUGUGCCCCAGCACCUGGUACGGUGAUUGGAGUAGAGUACGUGUCCAAUUUACAAAGAAAGGGUGGGGCAGGGGAAGGAGGGAAGGAAACAGCGAGGAAGGAAGAAAGGAAAAGGAGUCCUUUACAGAUAGAAAUUAGUGUCCACAAAACUAAUGUCUGUGCUUGGUUGGAACAAAACUCCAAAAUGUCUAGGCUUUUCCUACUGCAGCAAAUGCUAUGACAGUUCUCAAUUCUGAAACCUGGUUAGCACUUGCUUUUGUAUGUGCUUUGCAUAUACUUUCAACCUUUAAUGUUUAUUUAUUAUUAUGCACCUGCAGGACAGUAAUUUUAUUGUUCAUGGGUCCCAAAUCUACAUAUUUGAAAUCAGCAGUUAUAACUGAAGAAAGAAAAAUAGACUUAACACCUGUGAAAUUCCUAUUUUGCUUCAAGCAGUUUAUUAAGAAAAAUGUUAUGUAUUGGACAGAAGUAGCACAGCCAGGCUACAUCUUAAAAAUUUGCACAGUUACCACAAAUUAUUUUACUCUGAUAUCUAAUCUUUUAAAGAUAGGGAUGGAAAGGAGUGAGGGAGAGAUUUAAAUAUUUGCUUUUCGUUUGGAAGUGAUAUUUUCUUUUAAGACAGAAUACUUAAAAAAGGAAAUUGUGCCCCUGGAGUCUAAAAAAUAUUCAUUUUCUUGGCAUAAGAUAAAUUGGAAUGGACUAUUGCAUUGAGAACUAUCUCCAGUACAGUGAAGUGUAGCAAACUGAUGCUCAGUGAGCCUCACUGCACAUGAAGAUGCUUCAGUCAAAUGCACUCAAGGACAGUUCUGAAAUUGUUCUUUAUUUUAUUAUUCUGAAAGAUGCCAGGUGAUAACCUAUUUAAAAUGAAUUUUUUUUAAACUAUUUCUUCCAUCUGAACAAGGGUUGGAGGAGGCUGCACUCGGCGCUUGUAGGGAUAAGAUGACAAGAGAAGACCUUGCCAGGGAAUUUGAAAAGUCAGACCUUGAUAGGCUGGCAAUUGCAUGGAUAUGGUCACCUGUUGAUUCUAUCUGUAAGGCAUCCAUGGCUCAUCCCUUAUUCCCUACUGAUUCUGUGACCCUGUGGAUACCCUAAGUGCCUGCCCGAAGGAAAACAGUAUUUCUAAAGCUAUGACCUGAUCGUCCGGACACAAUUAUGGUCCAGUAAUUAAUUUACUGUGGUAGUUGUAUCAACAUUAUGUUUUAUCCAUCAAACAAUUCAAAGGGAAAAAGAGUGUGUACCUGCAUGUGCAUAUACUUGUAUGUUUGGUUAUAUAUGUAGGUACCUGAAUACGUGUGUGUAUGCUCCUGUGUGUCUGUCUGUUUUACAGAGAGGAGACAGAGGGAAAGAGAAAACAUAAUUUGUCCUUCCAUUAAAACAUUCUCAGAUUUAUGUAUUCCCAUUCAUUUUGCAACCCCAAAACCCACCAAAACCAUUACAAAUGACUCUGGUCAAAAACUGAGUAAUGCUGGUUUUGCUACAGAAUUCUUUUUAUAUAAAUUGCAAUUUGAUUUGUAUGUAUCUCACCUUCUUCCUACCUUCCCUAACACACUUUGCUCUACUUACAACAAUCCUAUCCACUAAGACCCACGUAAACGUGGAGAAACAAAACAAAAAAUACUGAAGCAGGAGGAUGAAUGGCAGCUGACACGCAACAUUCGUGCGGGAAAUAAAAGGGAGUGGUGAGGACUGCAGCAAACUGAAGAGCAAUGCCUCUUUUAAAGUGAGCAGCAGCUACCCAGUUGCAGACGGUUCCUUUAUAAGAAUGUGGGUAGAGGCUAUCCAUAUCGUCCGAAUUAUAGGAAAAGCCUAUGAUUUGGAAGAUAUGGAUUUAAUGGGAAAAUCCCUUUUUAAGCACUGGCGAUUAAUUUCAAAUUUUUAAAAAUUCACAGAAGCUUUUCAAAAGAACACCUAGGCAAAACACAGCGUGACCCAAACAGUGAAGGAACAGAUUUAAGCUCAAGCCACCAUGUCGCCACCUCUGAAAUGCACAUUCAUUCAACAUGUACUGCCUUAUGUCACCUCUUAUUACUGUCUAAAACAUGCAAACACACUCUGCAGCCAACCUGGCAGGACUGGAAUUCAUCCACCCUCAGUGUGGCCUUGGGCAACCUCUCUGUGCCCCCCUUUCCUCCUUUGUGCAAUGCAGAUUAGUAACAGGGUUGUUAGGAAGGUUAACUGAGGUCCUAUUGGUACUGCAACUAGAAUAAAGGCACAAGGUAACUAAUCACUGUAAGGUAGUUACUAUUAAAUCUUACAUUGUUGUAUUAUAAUUCACUGGAUUCCUUCCCUGCCUCCUUCCUGGCUAGACUUUAAAAUGCCUCAGAGGUAUCUGUUUAUACAAUAUGACGAUGCUUAACAUGGUUUCUUUUAAGAAAAGGAUCUCAGUAUAUUUUGAAGCCCAAAAUAUAGUAGAAAUCUUAAAAGGAGAUUUAAAGAAAUUGACUGAAAAUCAAGGUUAAGCUGCUGCUUGUCCUUGCCUUUGUUCUAUGUAUUUAAAUCUACUGUAAGGCCAGCACAUUGCACCAGUCCAUGUCAGUUUGUUCUAUGAUCAGUUAUAAUGAAUGUUUUCCAAAUCCCAGACGUAUAAUUUCCUCUUUGAUACAUUCUAUCCAGUUUGCAGUACAACAGACAGGAACUAUUCAUGUCCUUUUCUUUUCUCCUUUUGAAAAGACUAGGAGAGAGUUAGGGUUAGAUAGAACAGUAGGGACAUGUAGGGCAGCCUUGUGUGGCUGGAGCCCCUGGGUCUUUCUCACCUGCCUUUACUUAAAUUGACGAAGGUUACAUCACAAAAACCUGACAGGGUGCUUGUAAAAAUGGAGCCAUUAUUAUCCUCAUUCUUUUCUUCCACUAUAAUCCUUGUUCUCUUUGAAAAUAAAGAGUAGGUUCUAGAAAGGGAGUGUUACAAAAUGGAACCCCAUAUUUCACAGCAUGAAAUUCAGAAUUCUGAGACAGAUAACACAAAUAGAGUUUUACACUAUAGACUAGGAUAAUGACUGUACCAGAGAACUUUGGGAGGUAGGCUCUAAGCAUAUAAAGUUAAAGGCAUGUCUAAGUCCAAUCUAAACUUCUCUCUUUCUCAAAUUAUAUUUAAAAUGUUGAACAUAAGCAUGUGUCACGAAGCAAUCAAAACUCUUUUCCUAAGUAUUAACGGGUCAAAAGUAGCAACAAUGGAGCAGAGCCAGAGAAAGUAAAAAUACGAGGUAAUUUAAAAUGUGCUAUUAAUACCAAGGUUUUUCAGAGGAGAAUGUUAAAGUUAACAAAAAAAAAAAAAAAAAAA